GGCAGCUUGGCCGAGUGGUUAAGGCGAUAGCCUGCUAAGCUAUUGGGGAAACCUGCGUGAGUUCGAAUCUCACAGCUGUCG
Molecule: transfer RNA, 81 nt
Filed under: Albugo candida
Lineage: Eukaryota; Oomycota; Peronosporomycetes; Albuginales; Albuginaceae
Rfam family: tRNA
About the family: Transfer RNA (tRNA) molecules are approximately 80 nucleotides in length. Their secondary structure includes four short double-helical elements and three loops (D, anti-codon, and T loops).
Source: Rfam by way of RNAcentral